AUGGCGGCCGUCCAGUCUGUGAAGUCCGUAUUGAGCCUGCUAACAUGGAUUCUGUGGAUAUAUGUGCUUCUGGGUGAAUAUCACUAUGGCUAUUUGAAGUUGAUUGUUCUUUCAUGGCCCUUUGUGAUGUUUGAGCAACAUUUCAAGAGGCUACAGCUCGCAAUACCAUUACUGUUUCGCCUGGGGCAUUGGGCAAUAUGGUUUUGCGCCCUUGUUUGUAUGACAGAUCUGGGUUGCAGCUAUAUCAGGGCUGCUGUGCUGAUUUCUCCAUUUCUCUCUAGGAAGACAGCGCGAAAGGCAGCAUGGUACACACGCAAGACUUUCCAUUACAUGAGAGUUGCCCUGCCUGCAGUUUUAGUCAUCUUGUGCGAGGGGGUGAGACACAUGUUGCCGACUGAUCUAGCAAGGCUUUUUUGCCAAUGUGUUCUUACCAUCGUCAUGGCCAUAGUGGCGUGGAUACCAUCAGUAUUCCCUGGGCUGAAGCGGUUUCUGCCUCGGGUCACUUAUAUCUCCAUAGAACAGUAUCUAGAUGAGGGGCAUCCGGUGACUACAUUCCAUGAAACAUUGAACUUUCAGGUUUAUACCAGCGAUGGCCGGAACUUGUGGCAGGGAUUCAUUGAUGUCAUUCUGAAUGCCUAUGAUCAGAACAAGAGCUGGGCUGGCAACUUCCAGGAUGAGGAUCUUCGAAUAGGUGCAAAUGAGUAUAAGAUCGACAGGGAGGCAACCGAGGAUGCUACAUAUGAGAACCUCCUCCUGGAUCUUGCACAAAUUGCUAAUCUGUUGAUCAGACACUUCAUCACGGAAAACCAGUUCCCUCCUGGCUGUGUACAAGAGCUGUAUGCCUCGUUGACAGAACCUCUGCUGCCUGCUGUUCCAGUGCCUUCCCCUCAGGCUAUACAGAAAUUCCUUAAGUUCAUGAGGAACUACCCUGGACUAAAGCACCCAAGGAGAACAAGCACAUUUAUCAGCAAAGUAUUUCAGGCUGCCAGAGCCAUGGGGGCAGCUCAGUAUGCCAGUGUCAUGACAGCGGUAUCAAGGGUACAAGUGCCGCAAGACUGGAUGAAUGUGACUGAAGAAUUGGGAUAUCCACUGCUGAACCGUACGUUCUGGUUUGAUAGGUUGAAUCCUUACAACCAGAUGAAUCUAUAUAAUGAUGGUCCAGAUGAGUUGUUCCGGUUCUUGAGGAAUCUGUUUGAGCACGGUGGUGACUACGAUCGACUUGGAAGGCAGAUGUUACAUGACAUGGAAGAUCUAGACUAUCUUGCUGCGGAGGUCUUUGCGAGCGGCAUGGCCCAGCUUGUAUGGCAUUUGGUGUUGGAGUGUGAAAUGACGGGGCUGUUGGAGCAUGCAUGGAAGGAUUACUCUAUAUGA
Molecule: ribosomal RNA, 1371 nt
Filed under: Triticum aestivum (bread wheat)
Lineage: Eukaryota; Viridiplantae; Streptophyta; Magnoliopsida; Poales; Poaceae
Description: partial small subunit ribosomal RNA
Source: RNAcentral